Triticum urartu is the source of this 120-nucleotide non-coding RNA. The record is from RefSeq and is a predicted model, not a curated record. Lineage: Eukaryota; Viridiplantae; Streptophyta; Magnoliopsida; Poales; Poaceae.
CAACACGCUCUGGUCACGCUCUUCGCCUUUUGAUCUGGUUCGCCAAGGACCAAGGUCCAAAAGAUAUUUGAUAAGCUUAGGAGUUUCCUGGAGAAACCCUUGGAUUUAGGAGUGAUGCUG